UGAGAAAGCGGUUCCAGGGCGCCCAUCUCCGUCUGCCCUGAGCCACCUCUGGAUGCUGCUCAUAGGGAUUCUGCUGCGGUGGACCUGGGGGUGCUCCCGGUGAUACAGGUGCUGGGCCGGGGCCGGGUGGGGACACUGGGCAGCAGUGUUAUCAUGGGUUCCCUCCCAUCCCUGUGCCCACUGGGCUCUGGUCAGAGGGAGGUGGGCUGGUCACUGGUGUCUGGAAGAAAUGAUGGUUCUAGAAAAGCUAGAGAGCCCGCAGGUCCUUGCCAAGAAAGCCAACGCAACACGAGGGUAAAAAUCAUGUUUUUAACACAAGAAAGAGACCUCUGCCUUCCAGCAGGCGGGGCGCCUGCUCCCACCCACGCAGCCCAGGGGCCUGAGGAAUGUGGCCUCAGCCCGCCUUCCUCCCCAAGGCCAGGGAUUCGCUCUUAAAAAAGUUCCCUACAAAAUGAGUUUUCUCCAUCCGCCUAUUUCCAGGCUGUUUUAAGAUCGUUGUAGUCACAUCCCUCUGAGAAACACCCACCUCUGGGCCCUGGAGCUCAGCUGGCAGCAAACACCAGGGACAGAGAAGACCCCUGGGGGUGCUCAGCAGCCCCCGGGUCACCUGGCUGCUGAGCUCCUGAGAGCUAGGGCUUCCAAGAUUGGGGAUUCCGACUUGAACCCCCAAAUGGACAGAGGUCCAUGGCCAGUUGCCAGUGCAGAGCCCUGACCACGACCAUUGGGUGAAGUGGGGGGACAGAGGUGGCCCAGGGCCAACCAGACCCUUUGCCUUAGCUGGAAAAGGAGCUGACAGAGGUCCCAUCCUGGCAGACCAACCCUCUUGUCCUUUAUCAGAUGCCACCAGUCAUACUCAAGUGCUCUAGGAACCAACCUCUGUGACACUUUGGGUAUGUGUCCCAAAGAGGUCUCUGAGGCUCUGAUACCGAGUUCCAUGGCCAAAGACUCCUGAGAAAUGGAGAGUCGACACAGCAGCCUCCUUGCUGGGCAGGCUCUGCCUUGAUAGGUCCUCGGCCUGGGAUCGCCAGCAGGAGGUGAGUCCCCGUCUGCCUGAGCUGACAGUGGCUUUCCAGAGCCUAGCCUGGGGUCUGUAUGCCAGGGAACACACUCUGGGAACCCAGUCAAUGGAAGGCCUUCACAACUAAAAAGUCUUUCUGUUUCUGUAUUAGUCACCUCCUGCUGCGUAACAAAUCACCCCAAACUUAGCAGUUUAAAACAAUAAGCAUUUAUUAUCUCAGUUUCUGCGGGUCAGGAAUUCAGACGUGGUCCAACGGGCUAGUCCUACUGUGGUCUUUCCUGAGGUUGCAGUGAAGCUGUCAGCUGCUGCUGGAGUCGUCUGAAGGCUUCUUCAUGACUCACUCACAUGGCUGGUAUGAAGGUCUCAUCCCUUGCAACUUGGAUUUCUCCAUGUGGCUGCUCAAGUUUCCUCCCAAGAAGUUUCCUCCCCAGAGUGAGUGAUGCAAGACAGCAAGACUGAAGCCCCAAGGCCUUUUAUGACCCAGCCCUGGAUGGCAAUAUGCAUAUGGUAAUUUCCUCGAAUCCUAUAGGUCACACAGUCCAGCCCUGAUCAUUGUGGGAGGAGACUAGGCUGGCUGUGAAUGUCAGGAGAUUCCCAUCUCCCUUCAGAGACCAUCUUGGAAGCUGGCCACCAUGGUAACCAUCGCUUCGUCCCCACAGUUGGCUUGCUGCCAUUCAGUGGACACAAGUGACCUGAGCGGAGCUGUUAACCUGUGGUGGGAAGAGAAGAGGAAGAGGCCAGGAAUCCCCGGGCCUCAUCCAGCUCAAGUAACAAGAGCUGGGGUAGCACAGCCCCGCUGUCGGGGCCUCAGUCUUGACCAGGUCAGGGCAUCGUGCCCUGCGUGCCCCGAGCUCUCAAGCAGCCUGCUCCACCUUUAUCUCUAGGUCAGCUCACUCGUUUCUACGAAGUGCAUGAGGUGUGUAAUAUUUGGGUCAUGCAGCUCCAUCCACGAAGGCAGCUCUCUUCUGGAAGUUCUGAGACACGGUUGGUGACGGUGAGCCUUGUGGGGGCGAUGAGCGCAGAGUGAACUCAGGAUGGACAGAUGCCAGCGAUGAGCAAAUAAUAAAUAGAUGAAAUACUCAUCUCAUCUCCAGGAGGGGGUUAAGUACAUUAGCAAGGCGAGGAGUCGGCGAGCCAGGGGACCCUGGGGUGGCCGGAGCCUCACUGCUGCUGUGAAAACGGCCACAUCUCUAGCUUGGGACAGAGAGGGCUCCCUGGCCGGGAGGCUGAGUGGUACUGAGCAAGCGCCUGGCACCCAAACGUGUGUGUCCCAGGCUGACCCUUGGUCAUUGGCUGUGCUGCCCAGGCAGGUGACUCCACAGCCCUGUGUCCCUGCUGCAGAGUUGGGCAAUGUGAAAUGAGGAUUCAGAGGGAUCACCCCCAUAGGGGCUCCAGAAUGUGGGUCACCAGCUGCUGGCACCCCAAGUGUGAGGGAGCCUUAUAAAAGGAGUCUUAUUGCCUGAAGGGUACAAUGACAGAGUAGAUCCCCACUCUCAGGACAGACCUUCCGUGCUGCCUGGGCCUCCUGCAGUGGUGACCCCAGAGCCUGGAAGGAGCACAGCCCCUCCUCGGCUGGGAGCAUGUAGAGGCACGGAGCCUGCCCAGCCCCUUCCUGUCCUGUUGGGGCACGAUUUUCAAGACAGGGAGCAUCCUGGGUGUGUUUUGGCCUUGGGAGUCUCAACACGCUCCACAGGACUUAGGGCAACUCUGAGUUUGCUGUCCCAACAAAGGGACCAGGCACGGAGACAACACUCAGAGGACAGGGUGCAGGAGCCAGGGCCUGAUCCUGCAGCCGGGCGGGGCCUGGGCAUCAGCAUGGAGGCCCUGAGGCUCCACCCCUCAGAGCUGUGUGACUGUGGGCAAAUUCCUCAGCCUCCCUGGGCCUGAGUUUCCUCACACAUCAACUUCCAAGUUGGGCUUGAGAACUGCUCCUCAGUCUGUUCUGGGGACUCGGAGCUGGCCAUCAGACAGUCCCGUUUCAUCUCCUUGGCUUGUUGGUAUCCAUUAAUAAAGAGGCAGAGG
Molecule: long non-coding RNA, 3040 nt
Filed under: Marmota monax (woodchuck)
Lineage: Eukaryota; Metazoa; Chordata; Mammalia; Rodentia; Sciuridae
Source: RNAcentral